Molecule: ribosomal RNA, 735 nt
Filed under: uncultured eukaryote
Lineage: Eukaryota
Description: SSU rRNA
Rfam family: Eukaryotic small subunit ribosomal RNA
Source: RNAcentral
GGUGUGUACUGGUCUUGAUGGAAGCUUACCUCUUGGUGGGUCGGCAUGCCCCUUCGUUGGGUGUGUCGAUUAACCAGGACUUUUACUUUGAGAAAAUUAGAGUGUUCAAAGCAGGCUUUCGCCCGAAUACAUUAGCAUGGAAUAAUAGAAUAGGACGCGCGUCUUUAUUUUGUUGGUUUCUAAAUUCGCCCGUAAUGAUUAAUAGGGAUAGUCGGGGGCAUUCGUAUUGCUUGGUCAGAGGUGAAAUUCUUGGAUUCUAGCAAGACGAACUACUGCGAAAGCAUUUGCCAAGGAUGUUUUCAUUGAUCAAGAACGAAGGUUAGGGGAUCGAAAACGAUCAGAUACCGUUGUAGUCUUAACAGUAAACUAUGCCGACUAGGGAUCGGACAAGCACAAUCUAUGACUUGUUCGGCACCUGAAGAGAAAUCUUUAAGUCUAGGUUCGGGGGGGAGAGUAUGGUCGCAAGGCUGAAACUUAAAGGAAUUGACGGAAGGGCACCACCAGGUGUGGAGCCUGCGGCUUAAUUUGACUCAACACGGGGAAACUCACCAGGUCCAGACACAAUAAGGAUUGACAGAUUGAUAGCUCUUUCUUGAUCUUGUGGUUGGUGGUGCAUGGCCGUUCUUAGUUGGUGGAGUGAUUUGUCUGGUUAAUUCCGAUAACGAACGAGACCUUAACCUGCUAAAUAGACCCGGGGCCUUAGGGAACCGGCUGUCUUCUUAGAGGGACCGUAGG